Caenorhabditis elegans is the source of this 150-nucleotide non-coding RNA. NCBI's taxonomy places the organism in Eukaryota, Metazoa, Nematoda, Chromadorea, Rhabditida, Rhabditidae. The record is from Ensembl.
UGACUACUUUUUUUGAAAUCUCUGAAGAUUUUGCUUUCCGUUUUCUCUCAAUUCUGAGUUCCGUCAACUAUACUCACGGAUGGGAAUUUCAAGUUUCCGUAUCAAGUAAAAACAUGUCUCAAGUGUUUUUCGCUUUCUGACUCCUUCUUU